Molecule: ribosomal RNA, 449 nt
Filed under: uncultured bacterium
Lineage: Bacteria
Description: partial 16S ribosomal RNA
Rfam family: Bacterial small subunit ribosomal RNA
Source: RNAcentral
AGCGAACGCUGGCGGCAGGCCUAACACAUGCAAGUCGAACGAACUCUUCGGAGUUAGUGGCGGACGGGUGAGUAACACGUGGGAACGUGCCCUUUAGUACGGAAUAACUCAGGGAAACUUGAGCUAAUACCGUAUGUGCCCUUCGGGGGAAAGAUUUAUCGCCAUUGGAGCGGCCCGCGUCUGAUUAGCUAGUUGGUGAGGUAAAGGCUCACCAAGGCGACGAUCAGUAGCUGGUCUGAGAGGAUGACCAGCCACAUUGGGACUGAGACACGGCCCAAACCCCUACGGGAGGCAGCAGUGGGGAAUCUUGCGCAAUGGGCGAAAGCCUGACGCAGCCAUGCCGCGUGGAUGAUGAAGGUCUUAGGAUUGUAAAAUCCUUUCACCGGUGAAGAUAAUGACUGUAGCCGGAGAAGAAGCCCCGGCUAACUUCGUGCCAGCCGCCGCCGUAA